CCUACGGGAGGCAGCAGUGGGGAAUUGUUCGCAAUGGGCGCAAGCCUGACGACGCAACGCCGCGUGGAGGAUGAAGGUCUUCGGAUUGUAAACUCCUGUUGCCCGGGACGAAACGCUUCGACCUAACACGUCGAAGUCUGACGGUACCGGGUGAGGAAGCCCCGGCUAACUCUGUGCCAGCAGCCGCGGUAAUACAGAGGGGGCUAGCGUUGUUCGGAAUUACUGGGCGUAAAGGGCGCGUAGGUGGCCUGUUAAGUCGAACGUGAAAUCCCCGGGCUCAACCCGGGAACUGCGUCCGAGACUGGCAGGCUCGAAUCCGGGAGAGGGAUGUGGAAUUCCAGGUGUAGCGGUGAAAUGCGUAGAUAUCUGGAGGAACACCGGUGGCGAAGGCGGCAUCCUGGACCGGUAUUGACGCUGAGGCGCGAAAGCCAGGGGAGCAA
This 440-nucleotide ribosomal RNA is filed under the name uncultured bacterium. RNAcentral's name for it is "bacterial SSU rRNA". It matches the Rfam family "Bacterial small subunit ribosomal RNA", at positions 338 to 771 of the family's 1533-position model. The record is from RNAcentral.